RNAcentral lists this long non-coding RNA (233 nucleotides) under Elaeis guineensis (African oil palm). RNAcentral's name for it is "long non-coding RNA (EGUI_LNC045925)". The record is from RNAcentral. Lineage: Eukaryota; Viridiplantae; Streptophyta; Magnoliopsida; Arecales; Arecaceae.
UCAUGUAUCAAGCUCCAUCUUCACAAGACAGUCUAUAGUCUUAGGCUGGCUAAGUGACUUAUCAGUGGGUCAUCCACAUCACAUGUGGAGUUUGCUUUCUAUACCUCUAUAUAUUUCUACUCAAGGUAGUCGCAUGUUCAGCUGUUCUAUGUGCUUGGAUAUCUGGUGAGACCUAGGCUCUUUAGCAAGGACUAUGAUGCUUUUGUCUUUGCAGUAUAGUAUCACGGUAUCUA